AUGGCAAAAGCAGCCAUGGACACGCUUCAACUCUCCUGCAUCCAGAUAGCCAUAGCCCUGCUCUUGCUUACUCAAGCCAAGAGCACCACAGAGGACACAUCUCCCCUGCAUCCAAAUGAUACGAGCAUCAGCUGUAUUGCUGACGAGAGGUCUGCCCUUCUUGCCUUCAGGGCAGGUCUAUCCGACCCUGCAAACCUCCUUUCAUCAUGGAAGGGUAAUGACUGCUGCCGAUGGAAGGGCGUCUACUGCAGCAACAGAACCAGCAAUGUUGUCAGGCUAGAUCUCCGAGGCCCUUAUUGCAAAAAUGGCGAUCAGACGCAGGUGCUAGCAGGCAACAUAAGCUCCUCAUUGCUUGGUUUAAAAUAUUUACGGCAUCUCGACCUCAGCUGCAACAGAUUCGACAAGAUACAGAUACCGGAGUUCAUCGGUUCUCUCCAUAAGUUGAGAUAUCUUGACCUAUCAAUGUCAAUGUUCAUCGGAAGGAUACCACCGCAGCUCGGUAAUCUCUCCAACUUACAAUACUUAGAUCUUGAGACCUACUCAUACACAAGUGUUGAUUCUUCUUUCCAUAGUGACACAUACUCCACUGAUAUCACCUGGUUAUCACAGUUAACUUCCGUUGAGCACCUGGAUAUGACUGGGGUGAACCUCAGUACAAUUGUUCAUUGGCUUCCGGUGAUGAACAUGCUUCCAACUCUGAAAUUUCUUUGUCUUAGAGCUUGCCAGCUCAGGGGUAGCCCUGAUUCUCUUCAGUUCUCAAACCUGACCUCUCUUGAAACACUUGACAUUUCGGGCAACGACUUCCAAAAGCGUUGCACGCCCAACUGGUUUUGGGAUUUAACUAGCCUCAAGCAUCUAGAUAUCAGCAACAAUGGUUUCUAUGGCCCUUUUCCGGACGUGAUAGGUAAUAUGACCUCCAUUGUGGAGCUUGAUUUAUCAGGAAAUAACCUUGUGGGCAUGAUACCUUCCAGUAUGAAGAACCUUUGUAAUUUGGAGAGAUUAUUUUCUUUCGGAAAUAACAUCAAUGGGAAUAUAACAGAAUUAUUCCAUCGAUUACCCAGUUGUUCAUGGAAUAAACUACAACACUUGUUUCUACCUAUCAGCAAUCUGACUGGAAGCCUGCCAACUACAAUGGUAAAAUCCUUCAGCAACCUGAGCCGGCUGGAUCUCAGUCAUAACAAACUCACUGGCCAUGUGCCACAGUGGAUAGGAGAGCUCACAAAGCUAACAACACUGGCCCUUGGCUCCAACAAACUUGAUGGGGUCAUUGAUAAAGGCCAUUUAUCCCGUCUAGAUAUGUUAAAGGAACUGACUUUGUCAGACAACUCCAUAGCCAUCACAGUGAGUCCAACUUGGGUUCCUACUUUCAGUCUAAGUUUUAUUCAGCUUCGUUCCUGCCAGUUAGGGCCUAAGUUUCCAACGUGGCUUCAAUGGCAAACACAUGUAGUGAGUCUUGAUGUAUCAAACACAAGCAUUAAUGACAUGGUACCUGAUUGGUUUUGGAUCGCAGCUUCCUCAGUAGUUUUUCUCAAUAUCCGAAAUAAUCAGAUUACAGGAGUCCUCCCAUCAACAAUGGAAUUCAUGAGAGCAGUGGCAAUGGAUUUCAGUUCUAACCAGCUUGGUGGUUCAAUACCUAAGCUUCCCAUCAAUAUAACCUAUCUGGAUCUCAGUCGGAACAAUUUAGUUGGGCCACUACCAUUAGACUUUGGAGCGCCAGGGCUUGAAAGACUUGCUCUAUAUGAUAACAUUAUCUCUGGUGCCAUUCCAUCUUCUUUGUGCAAGUUGCAAUCAUUGCGGUUGUUAGAUCUAUCAAGAAAUAAUCUCAACGGAUCAAUUACUAAUUGCCUAGUAAAUGACUCCAGCACAAACAUGGCAGGUAUGAGUAUCAUUAGUCUAAGCCUAAGAGACAACAACCUCUCAGGUGAUUUUCCUUCGCUUCUCCAGAGAUGCCCAGGACUCAUCUUUCUCGAUCUCGGACAUAAUCAGUUCUCUGGGGCUUUACCAGCAUGGAUUGGGGAGAAACUGUCGUCUUUGUCAUUCUUACGACUGAGAUCCAAUAUGUUUCAUGGUCACAUUCCAGUUGAGCUUACAAUGCUUGUUAAGCUUCAAUAUUUGGACCUUGCCUACAACAAUAUAUCGGGAAGCAUACCGAGAUUUAUGCUUAAUUGUACAUGCAUGAUGCAAACAAGAUUCAACACUAAUGGUCUUCAGAAUGCAUUCGGUUCUAGAGUAUUGGCUGAUGAAAAUGAACUAGUUGACUAUACUGAGAAUUUAACGGUACUCACGAAAGGCCAAGAGAGAUUAUAUACAGGAGAAAUCAUAUAUAUGGUGAAUCUUGAUUUAUCCUGUAAUAGUCUUACUGGAGCAAUACCUGCAGAAAUCAGUACUCUUGUCGCAUUGAAGAGCCUGAACUUAUCAUGGAACAACUUCAAGGGAAAUAUACCUGAGAAUAUUGGAGCCUUAAUUCAAGUGGAAUCACUCGACCUAUCACACAAUGAGCUGUCCGGCGAAAUCCCUUCAAGCUUGUCGGCUCUCACAUCAUUGAGUCGCCUGAACCUGUCCUACAACAAUCUGGGAGGAAAGAUACCAACUGGAAAUCAACUGCAAACACUUGAAGACCAAGCAUCUAUUUAUGUUGGCAACCCAAGUCUCUGCGGGCCUCCUCUCUCUCGGAGAUGUCCACAUCCCGAGCCAAUUCCAGGAGAAAACGACGGAGAUGCAAGCGAUGACUUGGUUUCGUUUUUCCUCGCCAUGGGCUCUGGAUAUGUGAUGGGUCUCUGGGUGGUCUUCUGUACCUUCUUAUUCAAGAGGAGAUGGAGAGUUUUGUGGUACUUGCUCUGUGACAGCCUGUAUGAUUGGGUUUAUGUGCAUGUGGCUGUUACCUGGAGUUCCUUUAGAGGUAAAAUCAAUGGGUAG
Molecule: ribosomal RNA, 2916 nt
Filed under: Triticum aestivum (bread wheat)
Lineage: Eukaryota; Viridiplantae; Streptophyta; Magnoliopsida; Poales; Poaceae
Description: partial small subunit ribosomal RNA
Source: RNAcentral